GCGGAUGUAGCUCAGCUGGUAGAGCAUCACCUUGCCAAGGUGAGGGUCGCGGGUUCGAAUCCCGUCAUCCGCU
Molecule: transfer RNA, 73 nt
Filed under: Cellulosimicrobium arenosum
Lineage: Bacteria; Bacillati; Actinomycetota; Actinomycetes; Micrococcales; Promicromonosporaceae
Rfam family: tRNA
About the family: Transfer RNA (tRNA) molecules are approximately 80 nucleotides in length. Their secondary structure includes four short double-helical elements and three loops (D, anti-codon, and T loops). Further hydrogen bonds mediate the characteristic L-shaped molecular structure. tRNAs have two regions of fundamental functional importance: the anti-codon, which is responsible for specific mRNA codon recognition, and the 3' end, to which the tRNAs corresponding amino acid is attached (by aminoacyl-tRNA synthetases). tRNAs cope with the degeneracy of the genetic code in two manners: having more than one tRNA (with a specific anti-codon) for a particular amino acid; and 'wobble' base-pairing, i.e. permitting non-standard base-pairing at the 3rd anti-codon position.
Source: Rfam by way of RNAcentral